Molecule: long non-coding RNA, 606 nt
Filed under: Struthio camelus australis
Lineage: Eukaryota; Metazoa; Chordata; Aves; Struthioniformes; Struthionidae
Description: lncRNA (ENSSCUG00000016148.1)
Source: RNAcentral
AAUGAAAUGAAGUUGAAAGAAAGUGUCCUUUUCUCUGAAAAGAAAGCAGAAGGGUCCAAAAAGCCCUCCGGCUGCUCCGAGAAACUAUGAAACAGUGAAUCUGCUCCCUGCGGAAACGCACUGGAAAACAGGGUGCUUGGAAGCAACCAGCCAGCGGUCUCCGACCAGGCAGCGAGGAGCUCUUGGUGGGUUUGUCGCUCCAGGCGUGGGCCCGCGAUCGGCCGCGCCAGCGAUGCUGCUGGAAAUCAGAGUCUUUUAGAGAAGCUUUCCUGAAGAGGUCACCCUGAUGUUACCUGGAGAGAUAGCAACAACGGCCUGUUCUCACGGCAGACUUCCAGCACCCGGAGCUAAUUCCCCAUGCUGCUUCAGGCUCCUUUCCUGACCCAAGACACCCAAAGGAAGCCGUGUCUCCAGGUUAGCCUCUGUCAAGCUCUGGAUGGUGCCAAUGGCAGGAACCUACCUAUAAAGUCGUUAUCCAGCCAUCUACAACAAAACUCUUUCUCUGCAUGCAGAAGCCAGUUCAGUUCGGAUUUUUUAGCACAGCGUGUAUUAUGGCAUUCCUUCCUGUGGCGACUGGCCAAGGCAACGAAAUCCUGCUCUGACUAA